GUAAUCUGUAAUCCUUAUUUUGCUGCAAUACUAUGAUCGAUGCAUUUCAGCAUAGUUUUUUCGAUAAAUCAAAUUUAUUAAAUCAAUUUGAGAUAUCCAAAACUAAAAUAUCUUAUAACACAGAAGAAAAUUCCAUCACAACCAUCUCUAAAAUAAAAUCUAUAUGAUUUGCAAUAUAUAAUGCUACCUAAUCUACUACAC
This 201-nucleotide long non-coding RNA is filed under the name Elaeis guineensis (African oil palm). Its description in RNAcentral is "long non-coding RNA (EGUI_LNC013683)". Lineage: Eukaryota; Viridiplantae; Streptophyta; Magnoliopsida; Arecales; Arecaceae. The record is from RNAcentral.